AGAGUUUGAUCCUGGCUCAGGACGAACGCUGGCGGCGUGCCUAAUACAUGCAAGUCGAGCGCGSGAAGCAAACGGAAUCCUUCGGGAGGAAGUUUGUGGAACGAGCGGCGGACGGGUGAGUAACACGUGGGCAACCUACCUGUAAGAUUGGGAUAACCCCGGGAAACCGGGGCUAAUACCAGAUAACACUUACCAUCUCAUGGUGGUAAGUUGAAAGGCGGCUAGGGUGAAAGUUUACUUUCAUCUCUGCUGUCACUUACAGAUGGGCCCGCGGCGCAUUAGCUAGUUGGUGAGGUAACGGCUCACCAAGGCAACGAUGCGUAGCCGACCUGAGAGGGUGAUCGGCCACACUGGGACUGAGACACGGCCCAGACUCCUACGGGAGGCAGCAGUAGGGAAUCUUCCGCAAUGGACGAAAGUCUGACGGAGCAACGCCGCGUGAGUGAUGAAGGUUUUCGGAUCGUAAAACUCUGUUGUUAGGGAAGAACAAGUACCGUUCGAAUAGGGCGGUACCAUGACGGUACCUAACCAGAAAGCCCCGGCUAACUACGUGCCAGCAGCCGCGGUAAUACGUAGGGGGCAAGCGUUGUCCGGAAUUAUUGGGCGUAAAGCGCUCGCAGGCGGUCUUUUAAGUCUGAUGUGAAAGCCCACGGCUCAACCGUGGAGGGUCAUUGGAAACUGGAGGACUUGAGUACAGAAGAGGAGAGUGGAAUUCCACGUGUAGCGGUGAAAUGCGUAGAGAUGUGGAGGAACACCAGUGGCGAAGGCGACUCUCUGGUCUGUAACUGACGCUGAGGAGCGAAAGCGUGGGGAGCGAACAGGAUUAGAUACCCUGGUAGUCCACGCCGUAAACGAUGAGUGCUAGGUGUUAGGGGGUUUCCGCCCCUUAGUGCUGAAGUUAACGCAUUAAGCACUCCGCCUGGGGAGUACGGCCGCAAGGCUGAAACUCAAAAGAAUUGACGGGGGCCCGCACAAGCGGUGGAGCAUGUGGUUUAAUUCGACGCAACGCGAAGAACCUUACCAGGUCUUGACAUCCUCUGCAAUCGGUAGAGAUACCGAGUUCCCUUCGGGGACAGAGUGACAGGUGGUGCAUGGUUGUCGUCAGCUCGUGUCGUGAGAUGUUGGGUUAAGUCCCGCAACGAGCGCAACCCUUGAUCUUAGUUGCCAGCAUUAAGUUGGGCACUCUAAGGUGACUGCCGGUGACAAACCGGAGGAAGGUGGGGAUGACGUCAAAUCAUCAUGCCCCUUAUGACCUGGGCUACACACGUGCUACAAUGGAUGGAACAGAGGGAAGCGAAGCCGCGAGGUGAAGCAAAUCCCAUAAAACCAUUCUCAGUUCGGAUUGCAGGCUGCAACUCGCCUGCAUGAAGCCGGAAUCGCUAGUAAUCGCGGAUCAGCAUGCCGCGGUGAAUACGUUCCCGGGCCUUGUACACACCGCCCGUCACACCACGAGAGUUAGUAACACCCGAAGUCGGUGAGGUAACCWUUAUGGAGCCAGCCGCCGAAGGUGGGACCAAUGAUUGGGGUGAAGU
RNAcentral lists this ribosomal RNA (1532 nucleotides) under Virgibacillus sp. Its description in RNAcentral is "bacterial SSU rRNA". It matches the Rfam family "Bacterial small subunit ribosomal RNA". The record is from RNAcentral. Lineage: Bacteria; Bacillati; Bacillota; Bacilli; Caryophanales; Bacillaceae.